RNAcentral lists this long non-coding RNA (314 nucleotides) under Homo sapiens (human). RNAcentral's name for it is "non-protein coding lnc-CCDC13-2:1". Lineage: Eukaryota; Metazoa; Chordata; Mammalia; Primates; Hominidae. The record is from RNAcentral.
GUUCCUGGAGGACCCAGGCCUGACCAAGUCCCCGGCCUCAGCAGGCGAUCAUGUUGGCAGGCUUGGAUCUUCUCGCUCUGUGACCAGCCUGGGCCACACACUGGUGGAAUCUGCUCUCACGAGGCCUUCCCUGCCCAGUCCCCACAGGACCUCACCUAGGGUGGAGGAGAGCAACAGCAAGCUCCUGGAGUCAGAGAGGAAGCUGCAGGAGGAGCGACACCGCACCGUGGUGCUGGAGCAACAUCUGGAGAAGAUACGCCUGGAGCCAGGGAAGGCAUCAGCCUCCCAGAGAGCAGCUCCCAGGACCAAAACAG